AACGAACGCUGGCGGCAUGCCUAACACAUGCAAGUCGAACGAUACCUUCGGGUCUAGUGGCGCACGGGUGCGUAACGCGGGGUAACCUGCCCUUAGGUUCUGAAUAACUCCCCGAAAGGUGUGCUAAUACCGGAUAAUGUCUUCGGACCAAAGAUUUAUCGCCUUUGGAUGGGCCCGCGUUGGGUUAGCUAGUUGGUAGUGUAAAAGCAUACCAAGGCGACGAUCCAUAGCUGGUCUGAGACGAUGAUCAGCCAGACUGGGACUGAGACACGGCCCAGACUGGUACGGGAGGCAGCAGUAGGGAAUAUUGGACGCGGGACGAAAGCCUAAUCAAGCAGUGCCGGGUGAGUGAUGCAGGCCUUAGGGUUGUACAGCUCUCUUACACGAGAUGAUAGUGACAGUACCGGGAGAAUAAGCGCCGGCUAACUCCGUG
Molecule: ribosomal RNA, 433 nt
Filed under: uncultured bacterium
Lineage: Bacteria
Description: partial 16S ribosomal RNA
Rfam family: Bacterial small subunit ribosomal RNA
Source: RNAcentral